GAAAUACUUAAUAUAGAGAUUGACGGUGAAUAAAGCUCCAUCGCCAUCUUAGUUGGCUAUUCCUAUACUCAACAUUGAAUGAAAAUGUGUUGCAACUAAAGAUGAUUAAAGCCCCAUGACUACAAUCAGCAGCUAGCCAUAUCAAGCAACAUGCUCUACCAUCGUGGUAGGGAUGAAAUGGUAAGCAUUAAUGAAAUGGCCGAUAUGGUUCUCAGUUUUGAAGCCAUCCAUCCACAUUGCACUGGGUGUUCAAGAUUGUAACUCAAAUUACACUCUCAACAAGGAAAAAACUUGGUUAGGGCUUCAACUAUGAUAUUGAAGGAUGGGCUUAUACUUACAUCUAAAAAGGAGAAAGCUGAUCGUGUAGAUUUAUCAUGGGACUUCUUAGGCAUUCAAAACCUUGGCUCAAGUGCAAUUUGGCUCAGUUUGUGUUGCUGAUGGCGACUGACGAGUGAACUCAUAGUUGUUUAUGCUUAAUGAAGUGAAUUUCUGUUACAUGUAAU
Molecule: non-coding RNA, 503 nt
Organism: Coffea arabica (coffee)
Lineage: Eukaryota; Viridiplantae; Streptophyta; Magnoliopsida; Gentianales; Rubiaceae
Source: RefSeq, a predicted model, not a curated record